RNAcentral lists this ribosomal RNA (496 nucleotides) under uncultured bacterium. Its description in RNAcentral is "bacterial SSU rRNA". It matches the Rfam family "Bacterial small subunit ribosomal RNA", at positions 15 to 518 of the family's 1533-position model. The record is from RNAcentral.
GAUCCUGGCUCAGGAUGAACGCUGGCGGCGUGCUUAACACAUGCAAGUCGAACGAAGCCAAAAGGAAGCUUGCUUUCUUGAAGCUUAGUGGCGGACGGGUGAGUAACGCGUGAGUAACCUGCCCUUAAGUGGGGAAUAACACAGAGAAAUCUGUGCUAAUACCGCAUAAUGUCGGAGAGCCGCAUGACUUUCCGACCAAAGGAUUUAUUCGCUUAAGGAUGGACUCGCGUCCGAUUAGCUAGUUGGUGAGGUAACGGCCCACCAAGGCGACGAUCGGUAGCCGAACUGAGAGGUUGAUCGGCCACAUUGGGACUGAGACACGGCCCAGACUCCUACGGGAGGCAGCAGUGGGGAAUAUUGGGCAAUGGGCGAAAGCCUGACCCAGCAACGCCGCGUGAAGGAAGACGGUCUUCGGAUUGUAAACUUCUUUGAUUGGGGAAGAACAAAAUGACCUACCCAAAGAACAAGUCACGGCUAACUACGUGCCAGCAGCUGC